AUACGGAGGGUGCAAGCGUUAAUCGGAAUUACUGGGCGUAAAGCGUACGUAGGCGGCUUAUUAAGUCAGAUGUGAAAGCCCCGGGCUUAACCUGGGAACUGCAUUUGAAACUAGUAGACUAGAGUAUGGUAGAGGGGGGUAGAAUUCCUAGUGUAGCGGUGAAAUGCGUAGAUAUUAGGAGGAAUACCAGUGGCGAAGGCGGCCCCCUGGACCAAUACUGACGCUGAGGUACGAAAGCGUGGGGAGCGAACAGGAUUAGAAACCCUGGUAGUCC
This 274-nucleotide ribosomal RNA is filed under the name uncultured bacterium. Its description in RNAcentral is "partial 16S ribosomal RNA". It matches the Rfam family "Bacterial small subunit ribosomal RNA", at positions 523 to 796 of the family's 1533-position model. The record is from RNAcentral.